CAGUAGCCGCGGUAAUACGUAGGGGGCAAGCGUUAUCCGGAAUUACUGGGUGUAAAGGGAGCGUAGACGGUUAAACAAGUCUGAAGUGAAAUGCCGGGGCUCAACCCCGGAGCUGCUUUGGGAACUGUAGAACUGGAGUGUCGGAGGGGUAAGCGGAAUUCCCAGUGUAGCGGUGAAAUGCGUAGAUAUUGGGAGGAACACCGGCGGCGAAGGCGGCUUACUGGACGACAACUGACGUUGAGGCUCGAAGGCGUGGGUAGCAAACUGGAUUAGAUACCCCGGUAGUCCCUGUCUCUUAUAC
Molecule: ribosomal RNA, 301 nt
Filed under: uncultured bacterium
Lineage: Bacteria
Description: partial 16S ribosomal RNA
Rfam family: Bacterial small subunit ribosomal RNA
Source: RNAcentral